UACGUACAAGCAGUGGGAGCACAGGUUUACCUGUGUGACUGCGUACCUUUUGUAUAAUGGGUCAGCGACUUAUAUUCUGUAGCAAGGUUAACCGAAUAGGGGAGCCGGAGGGAAACCGAGUCUUAAUUGGGCGUUAAGUUGCAGGGUAUAGACCCGAAACCCGGUGAUCUAGCCAUGGGCAGGUUGAAGGUUGGGUAACACUAACUGGAGGACCGAACCGACUAAUGUUGAAAAAUUAGCGGAUGACCUGUGGCUGGGGGUGAAAGGCCAAUCAAACCGGGAGAUAGCUGGUUCUCCCCGAAAGCUAUUUAGGUAGCGCCUCGUGAAUUCAUCUCCGGGGGUAGAGCACUGUUUCGGCUAGGGGGCCAUCCCGGCUUACCAACCCGAUGCAAACUGCGAAUACCGGAGAAUGUUAUCACGGGAGACACACGGCGGGUGCUAACGUCCGUCGUGAAGAGGGAAACAACCCAGACCGCCAGCUAAGGUCCCAAAGUCAUGGUUAAGUGGGAAACGAUGUGGGAAGGCCCAGACAGCCAGGAUGUUGGCUUAGAAGCAGCCAUCAUUUAAAGAAAGCGUAAUAGCUCACUGGUCGAGUCGGCCUGCGCGGAAGAUGUAACGGGGCUAAACCAUGCACCGAAGCUGCGGCAGCGACGCUUAUGCGUUGUUGGGUAGGGGAGCGUUCUGUAAGCCUGUGAAGGUGGCCUGUGAGGGUUGCUGGAGGUAUCAGAAGUGCGAAUGCUGACAUAAGUAACGAUAAAGCGGGUGAAAAGCCCGCUCGCCGGAAGACCAAGGGUUCCUGUCCAACGUUAAUCGGGGCAGGGUGAGUCGACCCCUAAGGCGAGGCCGAAAGGCGUAGUCGAUGGGAAACGGGUUAAUAUUCCCGUACUUGGUGUUACUGCGAAGGGGGGACGGAGAAGGCUAUGUUGGCCGGGCGACGGUUGUCCCGGUUUAAGCGUGUAGGUGUGUGUUCCAGGUAAAUCCGGUUCACUUUAACACUGAGGCGUGAUGACGAGGCACUACGGUGCUGAAGUAACAAAUGCCCUGCUUCCAGGAAAAGCCUCUAAGCAUCAGGUAACAUCAAAUCGUACCCCAAACCGACACAGGUGGUCAGGUAGAGAAUACCAAGGCGCUUGAGAGAACUCGGGUGAAGGAACUAGGCAAAAUGGUGCCGUAACUUCGGGAGAAGGCACGCUGACACGUAGGUGAAGUGAUUUACUCACGGAGCUGAAGUCAGUCGAAGAUACCAGCUGGCUGCAACUGUUUAUUAAAAACACAGCACUGUGCAAACACGAAAGUGGACGUAUACGGUGUGACGCCUGCCCGGUGCCGGAAGGUUAAUUGAUGGGGUCAGCGCAAGCGAAGCUCCUGAUCGAAGCCCCGGUAAACGGCGGCCGUAACUAUAACGGUCCUAAGGUAGCGAAAUUCCUUGUCGGGUAAGUUCCGACCUGCACGAAUGGCGUAAUGAUGGCCAGGCUGUCUCCACCCGAGACUCAGUGAAAUUGAACUCGCUGUGAAGAUGCAGUGUACCCGCGGCAAGACGGAAAGACCCCGUGAACCUUUACUAUAGCUUGACACUGAACAUUGAGCCUUGAUGUGUAGGAUAGGUGGGAGGCUUUGAAGUGUGGACGCCAGUCUGCAUGGAGCCGACCUUGAAAUACCACCCUUUAAUGUUUGAUGUUCUAACGUGGACCCGUUACCCGGGUUGCGGACAGUGUCUGGUGGGUAGUUUGACUGGGGCGGUCUCCUCCUAAAGAGUAACGGAGGAGCACGAAGGUUGGCUAAUCCUGGUCGGACAUCAGGAGGUUAGUGCAAUGGCAUAAGCCAGCUUGACUGCGAGCGUGACGGCGCGAGCAGGUGCGAAAGCAGGUCAUAGUGAUCCGGUGGUUCUGAAUGGAAGGGCCAUCGCUCAACGGAUAAAAGGUACUCCGGGGAUAACAGGCUGAUACCGCCCAAGAGUUCAUAUCGACGGCGGUGUUUGGCACCUCGAUGUCGGCUCAUCACAUCCUGGGGCUGAAGUAGGUCCCAAGGGUAUGGCUGUUCGCCAUUUAAAGUGGUACGCGAGCUGGGUUUAGAACGUCGUGAGACAGUUCGGUCCCUAUCUGCCGUGGGCGCUGGAGAACUGAGGGGGGCUGCUCCUAGUACGAGAGGACCGGAGUGGACGCAUCACUGGUGUUCGGGUUGUCAUGCCAAUGGCACUGCCCGGUAGCUAAAUGCGGAAGAGAUAAGUGCUGAAAGCAUCUAAGCACGAAACUUGCCCCGAGCGUUAGGU
RNAcentral lists this ribosomal RNA (2269 nucleotides) under Salmonella enterica subsp. enterica serovar Dublin. RNAcentral describes it as "bacterial LSU rRNA". It matches the Rfam family "Bacterial large subunit ribosomal RNA", at positions 561 to 2810 of the family's 2925-position model. The record is from RNAcentral. Lineage: Bacteria; Pseudomonadati; Pseudomonadota; Gammaproteobacteria; Enterobacterales; Enterobacteriaceae.